AUCAAACAGGAUUAGAUACCCUGGUAGUCCUCGCCAUAAACGAUGAGUGCUAAGUGUUAGGGGGUUUCCGCCCCUUAGUGCUGCAGCUAACGCAUUAAGCUCUCCGCCUGGGGAGUACGACCGCAAGGUUGAAACUCAAAGGAAUUGACGGGGACCCGCACAAGCGGUGGAGCAUGUGGUUUAAUUUGAAGCAACGCGAAGGACCUUACCAAAUCUUGACAUCCUUUGACAACUCUAGAGAUAGAGCCUUCUCCCUUCGGGGGACAAAGUGACAGGUGGUGCAUGGUUGUCGUCAGCUCGUGUCGUGAGAUGUUGGGUUAAGUCCCGCAACGAGCGCACCCCUUAAGCUUAGUUGCCAUCAUUAAGUUGGGCACUCUAAGUUGACUGCCGGUGACAAACCGGAGGAAGGUGGGGAUGACGUCAAAUCAUCAUGCCCCUUAUGAUUUGGGCUACACACGUGCUACAAUGGACAAUACAAAGGGCAGCGAAACCGCGAGGUCAAGCAAAUCCCAUAAAGUUGUUCUCAGUUCGGAUUGUAGUCUGCAACUCGACUACAUGAAGCUGGAAUCGCUAGUAAUCGUAGAUCAGCAUGCUACGGAGAAUACGUUCCCGGGUGUUGUACACCCCGCCCGUCACCCCUCGAGAGUUUGUUACUACCCGAAGCCGGUGGAGUUCUAAAGGGGAGCUAGCCGUCGAAGGUGGGACAAAU
Molecule: ribosomal RNA, 709 nt
Filed under: uncultured organism
Description: SSU rRNA
Rfam family: Bacterial small subunit ribosomal RNA
Source: RNAcentral